This 555-nucleotide long non-coding RNA is filed under the name Elaeis guineensis (African oil palm). Its description in RNAcentral is "long non-coding RNA (EGUI_LNC026811)". Lineage: Eukaryota; Viridiplantae; Streptophyta; Magnoliopsida; Arecales; Arecaceae. The record is from RNAcentral.
AAAAGAAUCAUAAGAGAGUGACAGGAUGACUAUUAUUUCUAGAAACCCAAACUCUAUUUCCAUAUGAGAACAAGCUCUCCUUGAGCAGUAAAUCUUCAGACGAGUAGAAAAUAUAGAGUUGACGUAAAUCUUACCGCAUUCAUCCAACCAUAUGAAGAACUCCACGCACUACAUCUCCUUCUCUUAUUCGACGGGAAAUUGAUGAUGUUUAACACCGGCAACCCAAUGGCCAAGUGUUAAAACAUAGAACACCCAUAAAAAAAUAAUUUUUUUUAGAAGGUAUCCUUUUACUUUGGUUUCUUGGUUAAAUUUCUCAAGAUCAAUUUUUCAAACCCUAAGGAAAAAGAAAGAAGAUGAAGAAGAAGAAUCCUGAGAAAAUCUAUAUCGUUGGUAUGCUAAUAUAUAACUACAGAAGAUUUUAUUUGUAGAUGGAAUAACGAGAGAAAUGAUUGAAAUCCAAGUAUAGGAAGUACCUCCAAGUGCAGAAGCCAGCUAUCUGAGCCAGAACCAAAACCCUUCUGGAGAUGGUACCCUGGAGGGCUUCCAUCUAAACAC